GGGGGGAGCAAGCGUUGUUCGGAUUUACUGGGCGUAAAGGGCGCGUAGGCGGUCAGCACAAGUCAGUUGUGAAAUCUCCGGGCUUAACUCGGAAAGGUCAACUGAUACUGUGCGACUAGAGUGCGGAAGGGGCAACUGGAAUUCUCGGUGUAGCGGUGAAAUGCGUAGAUAUCGAGAGGAACACCUGCGGCGAAGGCGGGUUGCUGGGCCGACACUGACGCUGAUGCGCGAAAGCCAGGGGAGCGAACGGGAUUAGAUACCCCGGUAGUCCUGGCCUUAAACGAUGGAUGCUUGGUGUCUGGAGUUUUAUAGUCUCCGGGUGCCGUAGCUAACGCGUUAAGCAUCCCGCCUGGGGAGUACGGUCGCAAGACUG
Molecule: ribosomal RNA, 373 nt
Filed under: uncultured bacterium
Lineage: Bacteria
Description: bacterial SSU rRNA
Rfam family: Bacterial small subunit ribosomal RNA
Source: RNAcentral